AAGCAGGCUCCAUGCAGGGAUCCUGAUGCGGGACUUGAUCCCGGGACUCCAGGAUCAUGCUCUAAGGCUGAAGGCGACGCUAAACCACUGAGCCACCCAGGGAUCCUACACCUACACCUCUUCAACUCUUUCUCUUGCAGGCCAUUCUGACAGGAUUUCCUCCCACAUCCUUCCAUUGAAAGGACCCUCAUCAAGGUCACCAAUGGGGCUUGGUCAAAGAAAAGUGACUUCUCUGUUCUCCUUUCACUUUUUGACAGCGUUGGACCUACUUGCCCGAGCCUUCCUUCCUGGUACCUCUUCUUCGUUAGGCCUCCACGUCACAUUCCCUUGGACUUCCCCCAUCUCAUUAGCAACUCAUUGCUUUUCAUUCCUCUGCUGGUAGCUCUUCUUUUAUUAGACUCCUCUGUUCUUCCUGGCUUCUCCUCUCUGUCCUUACUCACUCAUUAAAGCGUCACACUUGGUCCUUUGACUUUUUUUUUUUAAAGAUUUUAUUUAUUUAUUCAUGAGAGAACACACACAGAGAGAGAGAGAGAGAGAGAGAGAGAGAGGCAGAGACACAGGCAGACGGAGAAGCAGGCUCCAUGCAGGGAGCCCAAUGCGGGACUCGAUCCCGGGUCUCCAGGAUCAGGCCCUGGGCUGAAGGCAGGAGCUAAAUCGCUGGGCCACCGGGGCUGCCUCCUUUGAUUUUUAAUACCAUUUCUAAACACUGAGAGCUCUCAAAUUUAUCCCUCAAAUGUACCCAUCCCUCAAUGCCAUCUCAUCUAUUCAAGUGUCUAUUUGACAUCUCUGCCUGGCUCUCACCCAGGUAUUUCAAACUUCACAGAGCGACCGCAGAACAAUGGAUUCUCUUCCUAACUGUACUCUCCAUUUUGUCUUUCCCAUCUCAGCAAAUGGCACCACCAUCCAUCCCAUUGCUUGGACAAAACAAAAAACUGAAGCCUCACCCAUGAUGCCUAUCCUUCCUCACACGGCUAAGCCAUCAGAAAGUUUCAUCAUAUACAAUUCCAUAUUUGACAAAUAUAAUUGCUCUACACCUAAUCCAAGUAUUAUCAUCUCUUCUUUGGUCUCCUAAGGCCACCUCUUCAAAAGGACUGCUCUCACUCUUGCCCUUUUUCUAGGUCACCUGCCACCCGCCAGCCAGAGGGAUGUUUCUAAUGCAGAACUUGGAUCAUGGUACUUCCUCUCUAAAACCCUCUGAUGACCUCCCACUGUGGCCAAACGCUUACCCUGACUUCCUAUGUGAUCUCACCCCAAUCUAUUUCUUGAACCUCCUCUUGUGCCCCUAUCCACAUGUUUUCUAUUCUUCCACCAUAAUGGUUUUCCUCUCAUCCCUCUCCCUUACCAAGCUUCUUCUUCACUCAAGGCCCCUGUAUUGGUCAUGUCUUUCAUUUGGAACAUCCUUCUGUUCCAAUGGAUUCUUCUUUUCAUCAUUUAAAUCCCAUUUAAAUCUCAGUGCCAAGGCUACCCUGGCUGAGACCAUCCCGGAUUACCCUGAAUCAAGCAUUUCUCUUCCCUGCGGUCACUCCAACACCCUGUAUCCUUCUCAUGGCAAAGGCCAGUAUUGAAAUGAUCUCCAUUGUGUGUUCAUUUGCAUGUUUAUUGUUUGAUUGCUGCCCUUUGCUGGUAGAGACUUUGUCUUGUUCACCGGCAUCCCUAGUACUUGAUACCAGUAGGUGGCCAGUCAACUAGUGGACUGACUUGGAAUUGUGGGGAGGAAUAGUUGAAAUCUGGACUGUCCGGGGUAAAUUCGUGUAGGAUUGCUAAAUUCUUUUUCACUUUUAAGAUUUUCUCAUUCAACUCAUUCUCAAAUUACAAACUCAAAAAAACUACCAGCCUCUUUCAAGUAGAAGCCAGAUCCUUCCCCCUACCGAAAGACAAAAAGAAAAAAAAAAGUGACUAACAACCAACACACCAGAAAUACUCCAUUUUUCCUAAGGAAAGGAUGGUGAGGACAAAAACAAAUUUUUGUUUGUAUCAUCCAAAAUUCUUCAAAGAACAAACUUCAGGUUCUUCAGUUUUUGCACUCAGUGCAAGUGGAAGUUUUAAAAGGAGGACAGAAGGAAGGCAAGCCUUUUUCCCAUUUGUGUGUGAAGUCUUCCUGCUGUACCAAAGGUCACUGAUUUUAUAUCCUGGUGUUAGAUCAGAUGCUGAGCUUAUUUCUCAAAUGGUCCUGUUUUUAUGGAUGGCGUGGUGCUGUGGAUGUAUACUGAGUGCUUACGCAAGUUCUGUAUCUAGAUUGGUAUUUAUCAUGAGUAACUACAUUAACUUAUUUUAUGGCCAGAGCUCUGAGAACCUGAAAAACUGUAUGUUCUAAUGCUACACAAGCCUGGGCAACCUACCAACCUGUGCUCCUCACAAACUCUGUGCCAGGCAUUAUUAGCAAAGGAUCUUGGAUUUUCAGGACCUCUAUUUUUCCAUCUGUAAAAAGGAGAAAAACGUAUGAAAGGCGAUGAUGCUUUUCUUCAUCGGAAUGCCUUUAAGACAUUGUUUGAGACAUUGAAGUAUUAUGGCAGGAGGUCCAAACUAGAAUGCUCAAAUUAGCACAUAUUUAUUUUACACCCAUUGUAUUCUACAGAUCCUUGAGGCAUUAAAUGCUCUGAUUUUGUAAAUUCCAGUGAUUUUAAUUAUUAUUCAGAGACAGACACGGUUAAUCCUAUGGUGUAGCACAAGAGGGCUGAAUUGGAAUAGGGGAACCCUGCCUUAGCCUUCUUUUACCUUGUGUAUAACUCUGGACAAGUCACAUCACCCUUUCUGAACUUGGUCUGGUUAGACUUUUGGGGACAGGAACGAAUUAUGAAGAUGGGGUGGGCAGGCAUUGUUAUGAGAACAAAGGAAAAGAAGAAAAAUACACCUCUGGAUGAGGAGAAACUGGAUGGUGGUUUUGAUCCCAAGGCAGCCCAGGGAGGGCCUCUGCUUCUCCCUGUCUCGAUGCCACUUGCCUAUGGCACAUCUAAUACCCAUUUAGCUGGUUCACAGAUGAUGCAGCUUCUAGAAUCUAGGGUUUAGGUAAAGUCAUGCCCUCUCAGCUACUGGUCUGGAUACUAGCUCUGUGUGUGUGUGUGUGUGUGUGUGUGUGUGUGUGCGCAUGUGCAUUCAUUUGUGCAUCUCUGUGUGUUUGCAUUCCUGAAAUGGAAUCUGAUUGGCUCAGUGUACCUUUUCUGGGCCAGAGUUUGUCACACAAGUUUGUCACAGAGUUUUGCUGCAUUCAGUUUAGGUACCUCCCUUGACCUUAAAGGGGCUGCCUAAGGCCUGCCUUUUCAGCAGGGACCUUGAUUCGGCCAACUUCCAUUCCAGAGGCUGUGGCCACAGCAAGCUGUGCGAUGUCUUCCAAAGACCUAGAAUUUACAUUUCCACAAAUGAAUUAUUCUAUUUAAAUAGAAUAAUCUGUAUUGGUUUCUCCUAGCAAGAUUCUGUUUCCUCAGAAAAGGCAAUGUUCCAUUGGUGUUUAGAUAGAAUUUUGGUUAAAAGGUGGGUGCUGACAAGUAUAAGACAUUGAUAGUAAUAGUUAUUAGACAGAAGCUCUGAUUUACACCAAAUGUUUGCCACUUCUCAUUUUAAGAAAAUUCAGGUUACACAAUUUGCAACUCUUAGGUUUAGAAGAGACUAACCUCUUUAAACCUCCCUUCUGGUCUUUGAGUACUCUUUUCUGGCUUCCCCGCCAAGCUGGCAUCACCUAUAUUGUGGGUACUUCUCGUCACUAGGGAGUACACUUCUUCCAGAGGGAGCCUCUUUCAUCCUUGGGUAAGCCUACCGAUUACUUUCUUUCUUGCUGCACAGUGUCUAACCCAUCUUUUUUGUGUGUGUGUGUGUGUGUGUGUGUGUGUGUGUGUGCGUGGUUUUUUUUGUGUUUUUUUUUUUGUCUAACCCAUCUUAUCAACACAGCAUCAAUUUGCUGAGUGAAUCCAUUCAUAUAUUUACUGGGUACACACUUCAUGCCAGGCACUGUCUUAGGAUCUUGAAUGAUACCAGUGUGCAGAACAAAUUUGUGUUCCUUUUUGUUUUUUUUAAGAUUUUAUUUAUUUAUUCAUGAGAGACACACAAAGAGAGAGAGGCAGAGACAUAGGCAGAGGGAGAAGCAGGCUCCAUGCAGCUUCUCCCGGGCUGCCCAAAGCCCGUGUUCCUAUGGAGCUGAUGUUAUGGCCUCGGAGUAAGAGGUGGUGGGAGAGAGAUACAGUUUCUUUUUUUUUUUUCUCUCUUUUUAAAAUUUUUAAAAAUUUUUUCAUUUUUUAUUGGAGUUCCAUUUGUCAACAUAGCAUAACACCCAGUGAGAUACAGUUUCUUAAAAAAUAUAAAUAAAUUCUGUAACAUGUUAUAAGGUGAUAGACACAACGAACAAAAGAAAAAGUAGAGUCCAGUGAGGGGGAUUGGGAAGGAGGAGUGAGCUAUAACAUGAAACAGAAUAAGGUAGGCCUCCCUGAACAAAGCGUUUUGAAGGAGAUGAGGGAGUUAGCGGGGCAGAAUGAGCGUGCCCAACCGACCGUCUUCCUGUGGCCCGGUAGAAAUAGCUCUCCUUGCACUUUCCUGACCUGUGAGAUAA
Molecule: long non-coding RNA, 4537 nt
Filed under: Canis lupus familiaris (dog)
Lineage: Eukaryota; Metazoa; Chordata; Mammalia; Carnivora; Canidae
Description: lncRNA (ENSCAFG00845020651.1)
Source: RNAcentral